This 305-nucleotide ribosomal RNA is filed under the name uncultured bacterium. RNAcentral describes it as "bacterial SSU rRNA". It matches the Rfam family "Bacterial small subunit ribosomal RNA", at positions 337 to 658 of the family's 1533-position model. The record is from RNAcentral.
GCCUACGGGGCGCAGCAGUGGGGGAUAUUGCACAAUGGGGGAAACCCUGAUGCAGCGACGCCGCGUGUGGGAAGACGGUCCUCUGGAUUGUAAACCACUGUCCCCAGGGACGAAGAUGACGGUACCUGGGGAGGAAGCUCCGGCUAACUACGUGCCAGCAGCCGCGGUAAUACGUAGGGAGCAAGCGUUGUCCGGAAUUACUGGGUGUAAAGGGAGCGUAGGCGGGAUGGCAAGUCAGUAGUGAAAUCCAUGGGCUUAACCCAUGAACUGCUAUUGAAACUGUCGAGCUUGAGUGAAGUAGAGGU